This 525-nucleotide ribosomal RNA is filed under the name uncultured bacterium. RNAcentral describes it as "bacterial SSU rRNA". It matches the Rfam family "Bacterial small subunit ribosomal RNA", at positions 331 to 847 of the family's 1533-position model. The record is from RNAcentral.
CCAAACUCCUACGGGAGGCAGCAGUAGGGAAUCUUCCACAAUGGGCGAAAGCCUGAUGGAGCAACGCCGCGUGGGUGAAGAAGGUCUUCGGAUCGUAAAACCCUGUUGUUAGAGAAGAAAGUGCGUGAGAGUAACUGUUCACGUUUCGACGGUAUCUAACCAGAAAGCCACGGCUAACUACGUGCCAGCAGCCGCGGUAAUACGUAGGUGGCAAGCGUUAUCCGGAUUUAUUGGGCGUAAAGGGAACGCAGGCGGUCUUUUAAGUCUGAUGUGAAAGCCUUCGGCUUAACCGGAGUAGUGCAUUGGAAACUGGGAGACUUGAGUGCAGAAGAGGAGAGUGGAACUCCAUGUGUAGCGGUGAAAUGCGUAGAUAUAUGGAAGAACACCAGUGGCGAAAGCGGCUCUCUGGUCUGUAACUGACGCUGAGGUUCGAAAGCGUGGGUAGCAAACAGGAUUAGAUACCCUGGUAGUCCACGCCGUAAACGAUGAAUGCUAAGUGUUGGAGGGUUUCCGCCCUUCAGUGCU